AGCGAACGCUGGCGGCAGGCCUAACACAUGCAAGUCGAACGCAUCCUUCGGGGUGAGUGGCAGACGGGUGAGUAACACGUGGGAACGUACCCUUCGAUCUGGGAUAACUUCGGGACACUGGAGCUAAUACCGGAUACGCCCUAUUGGGGAAAGGUUUACUGUGGCAGGAUCGUCCCGCGUCUGAUUAGCUAGUUGGUGGGGUAACGGCCUACCAAGGCGAGGAUCAGUAGAUGGUCUGAGAGAAUGAUCAGCCACACUGGGACUGAGACACGGCCCAGACUCCUACGGGAGGCAGCAGUGGGUAAUAUAGGACAAUGGGCGCAGGCAUGAUCCAGCCAGGCCGCGUGAGUGAUGAAGGCAUUAGGGUUGUAAAGCGCUUGUGUCCGGGACGAUAAUGACGGUACCGGAAGAAUAAGCCCCGGCUAACUUCGUG
Molecule: ribosomal RNA, 433 nt
Filed under: uncultured bacterium
Lineage: Bacteria
Description: partial 16S ribosomal RNA
Rfam family: Bacterial small subunit ribosomal RNA
Source: RNAcentral